ACAGUCAUAUCACAUUCAAACACCAAUUCUCAUAUGAUCACUGAAGUUAAACAAUGUUAAGCCUGGUUAGUAAUUAUAUGGGUGACCGCUUGGGAAUACCAGCUGCUA
Non-coding RNA from Acanthosepion pharaonis, 108 nucleotides. The record is from the annotation of a GenBank genome assembly. Lineage: Eukaryota; Metazoa; Mollusca; Cephalopoda; Sepiida; Sepiidae.